This 510-nucleotide ribosomal RNA is filed under the name Dolichopus griseipennis. RNAcentral's name for it is "partial 16S ribosomal RNA". It matches the Rfam family "Bacterial large subunit ribosomal RNA", at positions 1829 to 2597 of the family's 2925-position model. The record is from RNAcentral. Lineage: Eukaryota; Metazoa; Arthropoda; Insecta; Diptera; Dolichopodidae.
GUCUUUUUGAGUUUAAUUUAAAGUCUAAUCUGCCCACUGAUAAAUAUUUAAGGGCCGCAGUAUUCUGACUGUGCAAAGGUAGCAUAAUCAUUAGUCUUUUAAUUGAGGGCUUGUAUGAAUGAUUGGACGAGAUAUAAGCUGUCUCAUAAAAAUUUAAGUAGAAUUUUAUUUUUUAGUCAAAAAGCUAAAAUAAAUUUAAAAGACGAGAAGACCCUAUAGAUCUUUAUAAUUUACUUUUAAAUUUUUUUAGGUUAUUUUUUGAAUUUAUAAGUUAAAUUAUUUUGUUGGGGUGACAAUGAAAUUUAAUAAACUUUCAUUAUUUUGAAACAUUAAUUUAUGAUUUAUUGAUCCACUAUUAGUGAUUAAAAAUUUAAGUUACCUUAGGGAUAACAGCGUAAUUAUUUUGGAGAGUUCUUAUCGAUAAAAUAGUUUGCGACCUCGAUGUUGGAUUAAGAUUAAUUCUGGGUGUAGCAGUUCAGUUUAUUAAGUCUGUUCGACUUUUAAUUUCUU